CAUAGGUUAAUGAGGCGAACCGGGGGAACUGAAACAUCUAAGUACCCCGAGGAAAAGAAAUCAACCGAGAUUCCCCCAGUAGCGGCGAGCGAACGGGGAGCAGCCCAGAGCCUGAAUCAGUAUGUGUGUUAGUGGAAGCGUCUGGAAAGGCGCGCGAUACAGGGUGACAGCCCCGUACACAAAAAUGCACAUGCUGUGAGCUCGAUGAGUAGGGCGGGACACGUGGUAUCCUGUCUGAAUAUGGGGGGACCAUCCUCCAAGGCUAAAUACUCCUGACUGACCGAUAGUGAACCAGUACCGUGAGGGAAAGGCGAAAAGAACCCCGGCGAGGGGAGUGAAAAAGAACCUGAAACCGUGUACGUACAAGCAGUGGGAG
This 376-nucleotide ribosomal RNA is filed under the name Escherichia coli. RNAcentral's name for it is "partial 23S ribosomal RNA". It matches the Rfam family "Bacterial large subunit ribosomal RNA", at positions 165 to 579 of the family's 2925-position model. The record is from RNAcentral. Lineage: Bacteria; Pseudomonadati; Pseudomonadota; Gammaproteobacteria; Enterobacterales; Enterobacteriaceae.